RNAcentral lists this ribosomal RNA (253 nucleotides) under uncultured bacterium. RNAcentral describes it as "partial 16S ribosomal RNA". It matches the Rfam family "Bacterial small subunit ribosomal RNA", at positions 524 to 776 of the family's 1533-position model. The record is from RNAcentral.
UACGGAGGGGGCUAGCGUUGUUCGGAAUUACUGGGCGUAAAGCGCACGUAGGCGGCGCGAACAGUCAGAGGUGAAAGCCCCGGGCUCAACCUGGGAACUGCACUCGGUACUGGCGAGCUAGAGUACGAUAGAGGGUGGUAGAAUUCCUAGUGUAGCGGUGAAAUGCGUAGAUAUAGGAAGGAACACCAGUGGCGAAGGCGACCACCUGGACUGAUACUGACACUGAGGUGCGAAAGCGUGGGGAGCAAACAGG